UCACCUAGCUUCUCUUUCCUCUCCUUUGUGGAUAUAGAAAUAUCAGCCUUAUGCCGUUUGGUUGCAAGAGAAGUAAGACUGCCUUGGUCAACAGAGCAUGGGCUUCUUUUGUUCUCCAUCAUCAUUUUCACAAAGUGUCACUUGUUUUCCCAAGAACCCUGAGACUGCAUUGCCAAAGGAGGUAAAAACAAUAUCUCAAACCUUAUAGUGGAAAACCUUAGAAACUCACCUCAGAAAUCACUCAAAAUUCAAGGGAA
RNAcentral lists this unclassified non-coding RNA (257 nucleotides) under Hevea brasiliensis (rubber tree). Lineage: Eukaryota; Viridiplantae; Streptophyta; Magnoliopsida; Malpighiales; Euphorbiaceae. The record is from RNAcentral.